ACGGCUCAGUAACACGUGGCUAACCUGCCCUUGGGACGGGACCAACCCCGGGAAACUGGGGCUAAUCCCCGAUAGGUGAAGAACUCUGGAAUGAGUCUUUGCCUAAAAGGCGUCAGAUCAUGCUUCUGGCGUCGCCCAAGGAUGGGGCCGCGACCGAUCAGGUUGUUGGUGAGGUAAUGGCCCACCAAGCCUAUAACCGGUGCGGGCCGUGAGAGCGGGAGCCCGGAGAUGGGCACUGAGACAAGGGCCCAGGUCCUACGGGGCGCAGCAGUCGCGAAACCUUUGCAAUACACGAAAGUGUGACAGGGUCAUCCCGAGUGCCGACCGCUGAGGUUGGCUUUUACCCAGUCUAGAAAGCUGGGGGAAUAAGGAGAGGGCAAGUCUGGUGUCAGCCGCCGCGGUAAUACCAGCUCUCCGAGUGGUGUGGACGUUUAUUGGGCCUAAAGCAUCCGUAGCUGGCUGAACAAGUCCCCUGUUAAACCCACCGAUUUAAUCGAUGGUCUGCGGGGGAUACUGCUCGGCUAGGGGACGAGAGAGGCAGACGGUAUUCCCGGGGUAGGGGUGAAAUCCUAUAAUCCCGAGAAGACCACCAGUGGCGAAGGCUGUCUGCUAGAACGCGCCCGACGGUGAGGGAUGAAAGCUGGGGGAGCGAACCGGAUUAGAUACCCGGGUAGUCCCAGCUGUAAACGAUGCAGGCUAGGUGUUUGGACGGCCACGUGCCGUUCUAGUGCCGCAGGGAAGCUGUUAAGCCUGCCGCCUGGGGAGUACGAUCGCAAGAUUGAAACUUAAAGGAAUUGGCGGGGGAGCAC
RNAcentral lists this ribosomal RNA (809 nucleotides) under uncultured archaeon. RNAcentral's name for it is "bacterial SSU rRNA". It matches the Rfam family "Archaeal small subunit ribosomal RNA", at positions 85 to 879 of the family's 1478-position model. The record is from RNAcentral.